This 229-nucleotide ribosomal RNA is filed under the name uncultured bacterium. Its description in RNAcentral is "partial 16S ribosomal RNA". It matches the Rfam family "Bacterial small subunit ribosomal RNA", at positions 524 to 751 of the family's 1533-position model. The record is from RNAcentral.
UACGUAGGGUGCAAGCGUUAAUCGGAAUUACUGGGCGUAAAGCGUGCGCAGGCGGUUUUGUAAGUCUGUCGUGAAAUCCCCGGGCUCAACCUGGGAAUUGCGAUGGAGACUGCAAGGCUAGAAUCUGGCAGAGGGGGGUAGAAUUCCACGUGUAGCAGUGAAAUGCGUAGAGAUGUGGAGGAACACCGAUGGCGAAGGCAGCCCCCCUGGGUCAAGAUUGACGCUCAUG